AAAAAAAAAGGCAGGGAUGUGGCUGGGAGGAGAGGAGUUUGGCAGGGAUAGGCUACAACUCCAUGGCUCUGGGCUGUGGUCACUUAUGGCUUCAUCUGGGGGCAUCCACCCUCCAGGGCCCUCAACCAUGCCCUUUUCGCCAUACAGGGAGUUUGAGGACAUCACCAAUGCGAGCUUUCAUCUGGACAUGUGGGACCUGGACACUGUGGAGUCUGUCCGACAGAAGCUUGGGGAGCUCACGGAUCUGCAUGGGCUUCGCAGGUGUGUG
RNAcentral lists this small RNA (268 nucleotides) under Pongo abelii (Sumatran orangutan). RNAcentral's name for it is "retained intron". Lineage: Eukaryota; Metazoa; Chordata; Mammalia; Primates; Hominidae. The record is from RNAcentral.